This 714-nucleotide ribosomal RNA is filed under the name uncultured bacterium. RNAcentral describes it as "bacterial SSU rRNA". It matches the Rfam family "Bacterial small subunit ribosomal RNA", at positions 28 to 758 of the family's 1533-position model. The record is from RNAcentral.
GACGAACGCUGGCGGCGUGCCUAAACAUGCAAGUCGAACGCGAGGGCCCCUCGGGGCCUGGGAGUGGCGAACGGCGGAGUAAUACGUAAGCAACGUGCCCUAAAGCUCGGGAUAUACCGGGGAAACCCGGGGCAAUACCGGAUGUGGUCGGAGCCCGGCAUCGGGAACCGAUUAAAUGGUUUUUCCGCUUUAGGAGCGGCUUACGGCCUAUCAGCUAGUUGGUGGGGUAACGGCCUACCAAGGCAUCGACGGGUAACUGGUCUGAGAGGACGACCAGUCCGAGUGGGACUGAGACACGGCCCACACACCUACGGGUGGCAGCAGUUGGGAAUCUUGCACAAUGGGGGCAACCCUGAUGCAGCGACGCCGCGUGGAGGACGAAGGAUUUAGGUCUGUAAACUCCUUUUUGCCAGGAAAAGACUUAGGACGGUACCUGGCGAAUAAGCUCCGGCUAACUACGUGCCAGCAGCCGCGGUAAUACGUAGGGAGCAAGCGUUGUCCGGAUUUACUGGGCGUAAAGGGCGCGUAGGCGGUCUACCAAGCGUGAAGUGAAAUCUCCAGGGCUCAACCCGGAAACUGCUUCGCGAACUGGCAGACUAGAGGAAGGUAGAGGUGAAUGGAAUUCCUGGUGUAGCGGUGACAUGCAUUGAUAUCAGGAGGAACACCCGUGGCGAAGGCGGUUCACUGGGCCUUUCCUGACGCUGAGGCGCGAAA